This 253-nucleotide ribosomal RNA is filed under the name uncultured bacterium. RNAcentral's name for it is "partial 16S ribosomal RNA". It matches the Rfam family "Bacterial small subunit ribosomal RNA", at positions 524 to 776 of the family's 1533-position model. The record is from RNAcentral.
GACGGAGGGUGCUAACGUUGUUCGGAAUUACUGGGCAUAAAGCGCACGUAGGCGGCCGAGCCAGUCUGAUGUGAAAGCCCCCGGCUCAACCGGGGAAUAGCAUCGGAUACAGCUCGGCUCGAGGACGGUUGGGGUGAGUGGAACUCCAGGUGGAGCGGUGAAAUGCGUAGAUAUCUGGAGGAACACCGGUGGCGAAAGCGGCUCACUGGACCGUCUCUGACGCUGAGGUGCGAAAGCUAGGGUAGCGAACGGG